UUUUUCCUUCCUCUUUCCCUGUGAAGUGACAGCCGUUUGUCAAGUAAGAGAGCAGUUAAAGUGUAAAGUUAACUGAAAUUUGAAAGCUAACGAAUCCAUUUUGGGUGGACGAUGCAUGUUGAAUAUGGACCACCAUUGUGUUUGGUAGUUAAGUGUGUUGGUGGUGUAAACUAGAAGUAUUUUCUUCUGUUCUCGGCAAGAUUAAUCAAAGGUGCCUUUUUUGUCCAUGAAAAGAGCCCAUCGAUCUGUUGAGCAAUUCUGGGAUGGCAAA
Long non-coding RNA from Neltuma alba, 271 nucleotides. RefSeq lists it as uncharacterized. The record is from RefSeq and is a predicted model, not a curated record. NCBI's taxonomy places the organism in Eukaryota, Viridiplantae, Streptophyta, Magnoliopsida, Fabales, Fabaceae. The transcript is spliced from 3 exons.